AGCAGGCGCGAAANCUUUACAAUNCUGGCAACAGCGAUAAGGGAACNUCGAGUGCCAGGUUACAAAUCUGGCUGUCGAGAUGCCUAAAAAGCAUUUCAUAGCAAGGGCCGGGCAAGACCGGUGCCAGCCGCCGCGGUAACACCGGCGGCUCGAGUGGUAACCGUUAUUAUUGGGUCUAAAGGGUCUGUAGCCGGCCGGAUAAGUCUCUUGAGAAAUCUGGCAGCUUAACUGUCAGGCUUUCAGGAGAUACUGUCUGGCUCCGAGGCCGGGAGAGGUGAGAGGUACUUCAGGGGUAGGGGUGAAAUCUUGUAAUCCUUGAAGGACCACCAGUGGCGAAGGCGUCUCACCAGAACGGACCUGACGGCAAGGGACGAAAGCUAGGGGCACGAACCGGAUUAGAUACCCGGGUAGUCCUAGCCGUAAACGAUACUCGCUAGGUGUCGGCCACGGUGCGACCGUUGUCGGUGCCGUAGGGAAGCCGUGAAGCGAGCCACCUGGGAAGUACGGCCGCAAGGCUGAAACUUAAAGGAAUUGGCGGGGGAGCACCACAACGGGUGGAGCUUGCGGUUUAAUUGGAUUCAACGCCGGA
Molecule: ribosomal RNA, 589 nt
Filed under: uncultured archaeon
Lineage: Archaea
Description: bacterial SSU rRNA
Rfam family: Archaeal small subunit ribosomal RNA
Source: RNAcentral